GAUCAGCCGUACAAUUAUCAGCUUGACAACACCUCAUCCCUGCACUCAAACUACCACCAUCUUUCUUUCCUCCACCACCACCAUCGUCACCAGCCACCACUUUCUUUUUCUUGUUACUCUCAACACCAUUUUCCACAUACCCCAUCUUCAGAUACCCUUCAUUAUCUGAUGACUCCCAACCAAGCUCAGCUAAUUCCUUCUUCACAACCUUCCCCACCAUCGGCUGCUUCCCUUUUCCAUCCAUUACCUCUUUGGGGGAGCAAAAGUUACAAAGUGAAAAAACGAAAGCAAAACUUUGGUUGCGAAAAGUGAGUGUUUAAGAAGUGAAAAAACAAGCAAAUAAGAGAAUAAGGAGAGAUAAAGAAGGUGGGAAUUAUACUAGUGAAGGGAAAGUUGAAAAUGAGCGAGGACCACACAAGCUCCAUUCUUUUUUCUAUUUUCCUCCUGCCC
Molecule: unclassified non-coding RNA, 450 nt
Filed under: Hevea brasiliensis (rubber tree)
Lineage: Eukaryota; Viridiplantae; Streptophyta; Magnoliopsida; Malpighiales; Euphorbiaceae
Source: RNAcentral